RNAcentral lists this ribosomal RNA (298 nucleotides) under uncultured bacterium. Its description in RNAcentral is "partial 16S ribosomal RNA". It matches the Rfam family "Bacterial small subunit ribosomal RNA", at positions 775 to 1067 of the family's 1533-position model. The record is from RNAcentral.
GGAUUAGAUACCCUGGUAGUCCACGCCGUAAACGAUGAGCACUAGUUGUUGUGGGUAUUGACCCCCGCAGUGACGACGCUAACGCAUUAAGUGCUCCGCCUGGGGACUACGGCCGCAAGGCUAAAACUCAAAGGAAUUGACGGGGGCCCGCACAAGCGGUGGAGUAUGUGGUUUAAUUCGACGCAACGCGCAGAACCUUACCCGGUCUUGACAUCGAGGGAAAGCGCAUAGAAAUACGCGCCCCCACCUUCGGGUGGCCCAAAGACAGGUGCUGCAUGGCUGUCGUCAGCUCGUGCCG